AGUCGUACACUGAAAUAUCUUCCCAGCUUCUUUCCUCUCCCCCUCUGUGCACGACUCCGGCCGAUCCCUCCGCCUCCCUUUCUUUCCCCUACCUCCAGCGGGGGCUCCGCCCAAACCCGCCGCCCCCUUCGCGUCGCCCUGCACCAGCGAUGCGCGGUCCCGGGCGCCAUGGCCUCCCCAGCACGGGCGGCACCGGGUACCACGGCGGCACCACCGCCCCAGUAAUGCCGAUGCCGGCCACCCCGGCGGUGCGGCCGCGCUAGCAUGAGCAGCCCCGUGGGCCCUGCGGGAGCCCUUGCAAGGGCGCCGCCAGGCCACCCGACGGCGCCACCGCUCCGGCACGGGCCAAGCCAGUGGCCGUAGCACGGGCGCCCCCCUGCGCGUCGGCCUCAACGACCGGCCCUGCCUGGUCGUGUCUUCCUCUUCCCCGGCUACUGCUCCGCUCGGCAGGUGGCCUUUGCCAAGGCGCGUCACCUCAGCGACCGGAUCUGGUGAGUGGCCGCUGCGGCAGCAUGUGCUACCUCCCCUCUACACGCCGGUCGCAUCCACCGCCUCCGUGGCUGCCGUUUUCGCCGUUGGUCUUCCUCUUCACCUCCGCCAACCCCCGUGCUUUGCGUUUUCAACCCCCCUACGAACGCAAGCUAGGCUUAGCGGUGCCGAGGGAGGUCUAGCAGUUCCACCUCCACCAUGGAUUCUUUGAUCAGGACUAAUAUUUUUCAUCACACGGCUAAAUAGAGUUAAGGCUUCAAGAGUCUUCUCUCCUUUCUUGAUUGCUGUCCACAUCUUCUUUGCCUUCCAUUCCAUAAGACAUGGAGUACUAUCACUUUCAUGGUGUUUUUUUUUUUGGCAGAAUCUGUGUUCCAAUCACCCACGAACUGCACUUCGCAGGUCAGGUAGCACAGAAAAAAACAGAGAGGCAGCAUAGGACCAGAAGAGAAUUGAAAACUGAAGCCCAUGUUGAGAUCAUUGCCACAAUUGGGUGGCACUCCAUGUAGCAGACUAUCAACCUUGGAGCAAAACAUUAUGCCUGAACACCACAUAGUACCAGGUCUCUAUAUCCAGAUAUGGAACACCUGCUUUUUCUACGACCACUAAAAUAUUCUUCCUAUAAUUGGAGAGGCACUGCAGUUGAGAUCAAUAUGGUGGAUCUGUUGAUUACGUCAGCUGUAUUCUUCUCUAUUCUUUUCGAAUGGUUGGGUUGUGGAUGUGUUGUUGCAAAUGCAUGUAUUUUAUUGGUGCCCUUUGUGUUGUUUCCUGUUGAGAUUCGAUAAGCACUUCCUUGGCUAAAUCAUCUUGCUCUCCCCCCACUGUGGUUGGACUGACAACCUUCUUAGGAAUUAGAGAAACAUGGACCUUUGGUGUAUACGUUCCUGCUAAUAUUGAGAGGAGAGAUCCAAAUGUUUCUUCAUCUACCUUUGUUGCUUGGAAUGUUUGGCAUCAUCAUAUAUUUGUAAAUUAGCUUUCGACACA
Panicum virgatum (switchgrass) is the source of this 1470-nucleotide long non-coding RNA. RefSeq lists it as uncharacterized. The transcript has 7 exons. The record is from RefSeq and is a predicted model, not a curated record. NCBI's taxonomy places the organism in Eukaryota, Viridiplantae, Streptophyta, Magnoliopsida, Poales, Poaceae.